UAUUUAGUGUCUGAUUAUAGAGUUAUUCUGAUAGGAUAAAACAAGUGCAUAUAAUGUACCUAAAUAA
RNAcentral lists this transfer RNA (67 nucleotides) under Dielis tejensis. RNAcentral's name for it is "tRNA-Ile". Lineage: Eukaryota; Metazoa; Arthropoda; Insecta; Hymenoptera; Scoliidae. The record is from RNAcentral.